GACUUUUAAAAAUAAGCGAAUAACGGACAAGUUUGAUACUUACCUCUAGAGCGUCUAGGUGACGUAUAUUAUUGCUUCCACAAUUAUUCCUCUAUAUAUUGGCUAUGUCUAAGUCUAUGAUGAUCUCUCAUAUCUAUGGUAGUGCUUCUUAGAGUCAUUGAGAUUUUACGUUUCCAUAUCGUAUUAAAGGUUCAUAAUCUUGAUAAAACAUUAAUCUUUGGUAAUAUUCCUUGCUGGUUCACGUUGAUUGUUCUAUUGAGUUAUAAGAAAUGAUUUUAAUUGCAUAUGUUUGCUCAUAAUAUUCUGCUCGUGCAUAGAGUCAUUUAUCAUUUCACCGAGUCCCGGGCCGGGUAAUGUUCGUGCGGAGUUUCUUGCAUAUGUCACCGAGUUCCUCACUAGAGGGCCGGGUAUGUAUAUUAUAUAUAUGAUUGGUGAUGAGGAUGGUUAUGAUGAUGAUGAUGACGGAGAUGACGUGAUGAUUAUUUUGCCGAGCCCCUUACUAGGGAAGCUGGACACCUUAAAUGUUAAAUAUAUGCAUGAUUUUCACUUAAAAGGGUAUAUGUGUAGAGAUAUUUUGUUUCGACUUGCCAUAUUGGUAUCCUGUCAUCUUUACCUUAUGCUUUACAUACUCAGUACAUUGUCCGUACUGACCCCCCUUUCCUCGGGGGGCUGCGUUUCAUGCCCGCAGGUGUAGACGCACAGUUCGGUGAUCCUCCCGCCUAGGAUAUCUACUUUGCCGAUUGGGAGAGCUCCACUGUUUCGGAGCCCAGUCGUUUUGGUACAUAACUUUUUGUGUAGUCUUUUACUCGUCUAUGGGUAUGGCGGGGCCCUGUCCCGUCGAGUUUCAUUACUGUACUCUUAGAGGUCUGUGGACAUUAUAUGGGUUGUAUAUAUAUGUUUUGGGUAAUGGUCUGGACAUGGUUUGUUUGGGAUGUCCGCUUGUACAGGGGCAGCCUUGUCGGCUGCGUACAUCAUUGUGUAUUGCGUAGUGGCAGCCUUGUCGGCUUACGUAUGUUAUUAUGCUUUGAAUAGUGGCGGCCUUGUCGGCUCGCGUAUGUUGUUACGGUUGAAUGGUUAUGACUCCUUACGAGACAGGUCCUCUUUAUAUAUAUAUAUGACGUUGGGGUUGGCUUGAUUUGAUUAAAUUCCAUAUUGUCUUAGUUUCAGUUGGUUAUACUUAGCAGGUUUGUAUGUGGGUGUUCAAAACGGGCACUAGUCACAGCUCAUCGGGUUGGGUCGUGACAAAGAAUGGUCUCAGAGCGGUUCUUCCUGGGAAGUGUCUACAGACCGUGUCUAGUAGAUUCUUGUUUAUUGGUGUGUUGUGCACCACAUCUAUAAACAGGAAGCUACAGGACAUUUAGGAUGUCAUUCUUUCUUCUUAUUCUAGAUCGUGCGAUAGAGCUAUAUUAACAGGAUAAUCCCUCUCUAACGAAUCCGUGUGUUUUCAGCUAUGCCUCCAAAGAAAGCGACAACGGCCCCAAAGGGAAAAUCGGUAGCAGAAGGUACUAGUCAGACCCGGAGAGUUACUAGGGCCCGUGCCCAGUCUAUGCCUGGUAUUAUGCUCUAGUCGGAGAGCUCUGCUACACCGCCACCGCCAGAGGAGCUUAGAGCAGCAGCAACUCCAGUUCGGGGGACACCACCAGCCCCCGAGGCCCCAACACCUGAACCUCCAGCUCCUCAGUCAGGGGCGGAGGAUAGGGCCAUGAGAGAUGCGGUUCAAUUGCUGACUAGAUUGGUGGCAGAUCAGGCUCGCAGGCAUGGACUAGGAGUUGAUCAUGCGGACAGAUCUGAUAGCUUAAGGGCUCGUGACUUCUUAAGUUGUAAUCCUCCAGAGUUCUUAGGGUCAAGACCCCAGGAUGAUCCGCAAGAGUUUAUUCGUUAGAUGCAGCAUACAUUGAGGAUAAUCAAGGCUUUGGAGACUGAGUCUGUUGAGUUGGCUACGUACCGUUUGCGGGAUGUAGCUAUUAAUUGGUAUGAGUCUUGGGAGUUAUCUAGGGGUGAGGGUGCUCCUCCAGCGGUAUGGGAUGAAUUUGUGGAGGCUUUCCAGGGCCACUUCCUGCCUCCAGAGAUGAAGCGAGCUAGAGUCAAUAGAUUCUUGCGUUUGAAGCAAAAUGGCAGGAGCGUUCGAGAGUAUAGCCUCGAGUUUGAUUCAUUGGCUAGGCAUGCGCCUACUAUUGUGGCUGAUAUGGCAGACAGGGUACAUCGUUAUGUGAUGGGAUUGGAUCGUUAUUUGAUUGAUGGUUGUAUGGCAGUGACUCUUCAGCCAGGUAUGGACAUUGCUCGGGUGCAGGCAUAUGCAUAGGGGGUAGAGGAUUGGCACCGGGGACGUCAGCUAGAUAGAGAUUAUAAUAGAGGCCAGCAUAAGAGGGCUAGAUCAGCAGGUUAUCCUGACGAGUUUCGAAGCAGGAAGUCUCAGCAACAUGUUAGAUUUUCUUCCCAGCCAGCACAGAGUGCACCCCCACGUUUCAUGGGUACGGGUUCGAUCGUAUGGGAUAUUCGGAAUCUGGUCAGAGCUCUAGGGCGUCAGGGUCACAAAUGGGCAGGGGUUUGAGCCAGUCGAGGCCACCUUUGCCUCGGUGUUCUUGUUGUGGUAAGUCCCAUCCUGGGGAAUGUCGUUGGGCUACAAGUGCGUGUUUUUCUUGCGGCCGUCAGGGCCAUACUAUGAGGGAGUAUCACCUUAGAGGUAGUGCAGGUGGUAUGGCACAGCCUACAGGGUCCGUUGCUGGUUCAUCUUCUUCUGUGGCUAUGCACCCUACGGGGCAGGGUAUUCAGGCGCUAGCAGGCCGUGGUAGAGGACGUGGUGGAGCUUCCAGUUCUAGCGGUGCCUCGAAUCGUAUAUAUGCUUUGACUAAUAGGCAGGAUCAGGAGGCAUCACCUAAUGUGAUCACAGGUAUAUUAUCACUAUUCUCCCGAAGUGUGUAUACAUUGAUAGACCCAGGUUCCACCUUAUCAUAUAUAUCUCCCUUUGUUGCUAGUAGGAUCGGAAUAGAGUCUGAGUUGAUAGAACCAUUUGAGGUAGCUACACCUGUAGGAGAUUUUGUCAUAGCUACGCGAGUAUAUAGGAAUUGUUCAGUAGUUAUAUAUAGUCGUUGUACCGUAGCAGAUCUAAUAGAGUUAAAUAUGAUUGAGUUUGAUAUUAUCAUGGGCAUGGAUUGGUUGGCUGCUUGUUAUGCUAAUGUUGAUUGCAGAGGAAAGAUAGUUCGAUUUCAAUUUCCAGGGGAACCGAUUAUAGAGUGGAAGGGAAGUACAAUAUCGCCGAAAGGUAAGUUCAUUUCAUACCUCAAGGCCGGGAAGAUGGUUAGAAAAGGCUAUAUUUACCAUCUGAUUCGGGUGCAUAACAUAAAGGCAGAGGCACCGACUCUUCAAUCAGUCCCGGUAGUUAAUGAAUUUCCCAAUGUAUUCCCCGAGGAACUUCCAGGCCUUCCUCCAGAACGAGAGAUAGAGUAUACUAUAGAUGUACUGCCAGAUGCCCAGCCUAUAUCUAUACCUCCUUAUAGAAUGGCACCUGCUGAGUUGAAAGAAUUGAAAGAGCAAUUGAGGGAUUUGCUAGAAAAGGGCUUCAUCAGGCCUAGUACGUCACCUUGGAGAGCACCGGUACUGUUUGUGAGGAAGAAGGAUGGGUCUCUGCGGAUGUGCAUUGAUUAUAGGCAGUUGAACAAAGUAACAAUAAAGAACAGGUAUCCCCUCCCAAGAAUUGACGAUCUAUUUGACCAGUUGCAGGGUGCAAAGUAUUUUUCAAAGAUAGACUUGCGGUUAGGUUAUCAUCAGGUGCGGAUAAGGGAAGCAGAUAUUCCAAAGACGGCAUUCCAGACCCGAUAUGGGCAUUAUGAGUUUAGAGUGCUGUCUUUUGGGCUGACUAAUGCUCCAGCGGUGUUCAUGGAUUUAAUGAAUCGAGUAUUUAAACCAUUCCUUGAUAUGUUUGUUAUUGUAUUUAUAGACGAUAUUCUGGAUUAAUUAGUGGUUGAUUAGGAUUAAUUUAAUCCAGUGGGCCCCACCACUCAUAAUUGGUGGCUGAUUAAUAUUUAAUCCAGUGGGCCCACCACUCAAGGCAAAAAAAUUAAAAAGAUCAGAUUAUGAGCUGGCCUUAGUGGACAGGUGUAGAGGGGGGCUGCCUCCACUUCAUACUAUUAAAUGAGGUGGAGAAAUCCACUCCAUGCUAAAUAAAGUGGUGAAAUGCAUUGCUGCAUAUCAUCUUCUUCUUCACCAAUUGUCUUAGGCAGCCAUGGAAAUGGAGAAACCAACCCUGCAACUCUUGGCCAGCAGCUGCAAAUAAUUUGGUUAGUAAUUUCCUUGUUUGGUGUGUUAAUUCUUUAGAAUACCUUUGUUAAUUACCCAUUAAUUUUAAGAAGGGGGCGUGACCAGUAGCUUAGGAAGUUUGUUUUAGUUAUUGAAUGUGCUAAGUAUGAACGGAAACCAUAAUCGGAUUAUUAGUGGUGUCGUGUUGGUGCUUGGGCUGUUUUGAUUAAAGCAAACUAUGGGAAAAUUCUGUUUUGGCAUUAUGUAUAUGUUAAAUGUGAUUAUGAGUAUAUAAUCCAAAGGAUGAAUACAAUAAGGUAGAUGUGUUGCGAAUUGUAAAACGAAUUAUCGCUCGGUGUGUCGUUGCUUCGCUGCUAUGGUUGCCGAGACGGAACUAUUUUGGGGAGGGAGCUGUUUAAUAUGAUUCAUUGGGUUAUAUGUGUUAUUGGUAUUGCUGUGGAUAAUUUGGGUUGUUGUCGGAUUGGGACGAAGUAAGGAAAAUAGGGGAAGUGCUGCCGAAUUUUCGUUUGAUUAUUAGCUAGCUUACAAGAAAGUAAAGCACGAUGUUUAUCUAAUUGCGGCACGAUUGUUGCUUGUUAUAGAUUAAUAGCUUGAGCAGUAAAUAUUGGACGUGCGGCUCGAUUAUACGGUAUGUAACGCUGUCCCUUCUUUCUUUGUUUGGCAUGACUUUUAAAAAUAAGCGAAUAACGGACAGGUUUGAUACUUACCUCUAGAGCGUCUAGGUGACGUAUAUUCUUGCUUCCACAAUUAUUCCUCUAUAUAUCGGCUAUGUCUAAGGCUAUGAUGAUCUCUCAUAUCUAUGGUGGUGCUUCUUAGAGUCAUUGAGAUUUUACGUUUCCAUAUCGUAUUAAAGGUUCAUAAUCUUGAUAAAACAUUAAUCUUUGGUAAUACUCCUUGCUGGUUCACGUUGAUUGUUCUAUUGAGUUAUAAGAAAUGAUUUUAAUUGCAUAUGGUUGCUCAUAAUAUUCUGCUCGUGCAUAGAGUCAUUUAUCAUUUCACCGAGUCCCGGGCCGGGUAAUGUUCGUGCGGAGUUUCUUGCAUGUCACCGAGUUCCUCACUAGAGGGUCGGGUAUGUAUAUUAUAUAUAUGAUUGGUGAUGAGGAUGGUUAUGAUGAUGAUGAUGACGGAGAUGACGUGAUGAUUAUUUUGCCGAGCGCCUUACUAGGGAAGCUGGGCACCUUAUAUGUUAAAUAUAUGCAUGAUUUUUCACUUAAAAGGGUAUAUGUGUAGCGAUAUUUUGUUUUGACUUGCCAUAUUGGUAUCCUGUCAUCUUUACCUUAUGCUUUACAUACUCAGUACAUUGUCC
RNAcentral lists this long non-coding RNA (5563 nucleotides) under Solanum lycopersicum (tomato). Its description in RNAcentral is "long non-coding RNA (SLYC_LNC000921)". Lineage: Eukaryota; Viridiplantae; Streptophyta; Magnoliopsida; Solanales; Solanaceae. The record is from RNAcentral.